This 447-nucleotide ribosomal RNA is filed under the name uncultured bacterium. Its description in RNAcentral is "partial 16S ribosomal RNA". It matches the Rfam family "Bacterial small subunit ribosomal RNA", at positions 29 to 523 of the family's 1533-position model. The record is from RNAcentral.
AGCGAACGCUGGCGGCAGGCUUAACACAUGCAAGUCGAACGGUCCUUCGGGAUAGUGGUGGACGGGUGAGUAACACGUGGGAACGUACCCUUAGGUUCGGAACAACACAGGGAAACUUGUGCUAAUACCGGAUAAGCCCUUCGGGGGAAAGAUUUAUCGCCUUUGGAGCGGCCCGCGUCUGAUUAGCUUGUUGGUGAGGUAAUGGCUCACCAAGGCUACGAUCAGUAGCUGGUCUGAGAGGAUGGCCAGCCACACUGGGACUGAGACACGGCCCAGACUCCUACGGGAGGCAGCAGUGGGGAAUCUUGCGCAAUGGGCGAAAGCCUGACGCAGCCAUGCCGCGUGGAUGUUGAAGGUCUUAGGAUUGUAAAAUCCUUUCACCGGGGACGAUAAUGACGGUACCCGGAGAAGAAGCCCCGGCUAACUUCGUGCCAGCCGCCGCGGUAA